This 268-nucleotide long non-coding RNA is filed under the name Vitis vinifera (wine grape). RNAcentral's name for it is "long non-coding RNA (VVIN_LNC005344)". The record is from RNAcentral. Lineage: Eukaryota; Viridiplantae; Streptophyta; Magnoliopsida; Vitales; Vitaceae.
GUGAUACCAUAACUCAAAGGUGAUGCAUUUAAUGUGACAUCAUAACUCAAAGAUGAUGUAUUUAAUGUGACACCCUAUCAUCACUAGAAAUAUAUGGUGUCACUUCUGAAUGGGUCACCAUUUAUCUACUUUGGUGUCAUUUCCAAAUACAUCACCAAUUGGUACCCUCUAUGGUGUCAGUGGAGAAGGUGACGCUAUGUUGUAGUGACACCUUAUGUUUAUGGUGACUCGUUAUAAAUGUCACCAUAUACCUUUUUCCUUGUAGUGG